ACGCACGCUGGCGGCGUGCUUAACACAUGCAAGUCGAACGGAAAGGCCCUGCUUUUGUGGGGUGCUCGCGUGGCGAACGGGUGAGUAACACGUGAGUAACCUGCCCUUGACUUUGGGAUAACUUCAGGAAACUGGGGCUAAUACCGGAUAGGAGCUCCUGCUGCAUGGUGGGGGUUGGAAAGUUUCGGCGGUUGGGGAUGGACUCGCGGCUUAUCAGCUUGUUGGUGGGGUAGUGGCUUACCAAGGCUUUGACGGGUAGCCGGCCUGAGAGGGUGACCGGCCACAUUGGGACUGAGAUACGGCCCAGACUCCUACGGGAGGCAGCAGUGGGGAAUAUUGCACAAUGGGCGGAAGCCUGAUGCAGCAACGCCGCGUGCGGGAUGACGGCCUUCGGGUUGUAAACCGCUUUCGCCUGUGACGAAGCGUGAGUGACGGUAAUGGGUAAAGAAGCACCGGCUAACUACGUG
RNAcentral lists this ribosomal RNA (467 nucleotides) under uncultured bacterium. Its description in RNAcentral is "partial 16S ribosomal RNA". It matches the Rfam family "Bacterial small subunit ribosomal RNA", at positions 29 to 507 of the family's 1533-position model. The record is from RNAcentral.